GUGUAAGAUGAGAGAACAUAUAUACUAAAAAAGAAUGGUACAAAGAAGAUUAGCACAGUCUUUACACAAAGAUGACAUGCAAAUUUGUGGAGUAUUGCAUAUUUUU
Molecule: small nuclear RNA, 106 nt
Organism: Dromiciops gliroides (monito del monte)
Lineage: Eukaryota; Metazoa; Chordata; Mammalia; Microbiotheria; Microbiotheriidae
Source: RefSeq, a predicted model, not a curated record